GGGCACCACUGGAACGGAUGGCUAAUACCGGAUGUGCCGAGAGGUGAAAGGUUAACUGCCUGGAAAUGAGCUCGCGUCUGAUUACCUAGUUGGUGGUGUAAGGGACUACCAAGGCGACGAUCUGUAGCUGGUCUGAGAGGAUGAUCAGCCACACUGGAACUGAGACACGGUCCAGACUCCUACGGGAGGCAGCAGUGGGGAAUUUUCCGCAAGGGGCGAAACCCUGACGGAGCAAUACCGCGUGAGGGAGGAAGGCUCUUGGGUUGUAAACCCUCUUUUUCUCAGGGAAUAAGCAAGUGAAGGUACCUGAGGAAUCAGCAUCGGCUAACUCCGUUCCAGCAGCCGCGGUAAUACGGAGGAUGCAAGCGUUAUCCGGAAUGAUUGGGCGUAAAGCGUCCGUAGGUAGCAGUGUAAGUCUAUUGUUAAAGAGUUUGGCUUAACCAAAUAAAGGCGGUAGAAACUACACAGCUAGAGUGCGUUCGGGGCAGAGGGAAUUCCUGGAGUAGCGGUGAAAUGCGUAGAGAUCAGGAAGAACACCGGUGGCGAAAGCGCUCUGAUAGGCCGCAACUGACACUGAGGGACGAAAGCUAGGGGAGCGAAUGGGAUUAGAUACCCCAGUAGUCCUAGCCG
Molecule: ribosomal RNA, 630 nt
Filed under: Fischerella sp. LMGG62
Lineage: Bacteria; Bacillati; Cyanobacteriota; Cyanophyceae; Nostocales; Hapalosiphonaceae
Description: bacterial SSU rRNA
Rfam family: Bacterial small subunit ribosomal RNA
Source: RNAcentral